GGCGAGAGACCGAUAGCGAACAAGUACCGUGAGGGAAAGAUGAAAAGAACUUUGAAAAGAGAGUUAAACAGUACGUGAAAUUGUUGAAAGGGAAACGAUUGAAGCCAGUCGUACCUUCGGGUAAUCAGCCUUUCGGGUGCGAUUCUGUGGAGUGUGAGGAGCUUAACACCUUCAUGCUUUGCAUAUUUGUGCUCUUGGGUGUACUUGCUCGUGUGGUUGGUUAACAUCAAUUUUGAUUAUCAUAAAAUGAUUGGAGGAAUGUAGCUUCGAUCUCGUAUUGAAGUGUUAUAGCCUUCGGUAGAUGUGAUGAUCGAGAUUGAGGAUUGCAACGGAUACCCUUCGGGGCUACCUGUCUGGUCUCUGAUCGUUGCUCUGGUGCCGAAAGCGUGCUUACGGUUAUCAAAGUCGAUGGUCAAUAGGUUAGAACGGGUUAAA
Molecule: ribosomal RNA, 435 nt
Filed under: Rhizophagus intraradices
Lineage: Eukaryota; Fungi; Glomeromycota; Glomeromycetes; Glomerales; Glomeraceae
Description: eukaryotic LSU rRNA
Rfam family: Eukaryotic large subunit ribosomal RNA
Source: RNAcentral